Molecule: ribosomal RNA, 423 nt
Filed under: uncultured bacterium
Lineage: Bacteria
Description: bacterial SSU rRNA
Rfam family: Bacterial small subunit ribosomal RNA
Source: RNAcentral
UGAGGAAUAUUGGGCAAUGCCCGCAAGGGUGACCCAGCAACGCCGCGUGAAGGAUGAAGGCCGUAAGGUUGUAAACUUCUGUUAGAGGGGACGAAAGAUUUCGGUAGUACCGGGAUUUGACUGUACCCUCAGAGAAAGCCCCGGCUAACUACGUGCCAGCAGCCGCGGUAAUACGUAGGGGGCAAGCGUUGUCCGGAUUUACUGGGUGUAAAGGGCGCGCAGGCGGGUUGACAAGUCAGAGGUGAAAUCCUGCGGCUUAACUGCAGAACUGCCUUUGAAACUGUUAAUCUUGAGUACGGAAGAGAGAGACGGAAUUCCAGGUGUAGUGGUGAAAUACGUAGAUAUCUGGAAGAACACCAGUUGCGAAGGCGGUCUCUUGGUCCGUUACUGACGCUCAGGCGCGAAAGCGUGGGUAGCAAACAG